Molecule: non-coding RNA, 97 nt
Organism: Asterophora parasitica
Lineage: Eukaryota; Fungi; Basidiomycota; Agaricomycetes; Agaricales; Lyophyllaceae
Source: the annotation of a GenBank genome assembly
GGCCACGUGGUCUAGUCGUAUGAUACCUCCUUCGGGUCUACCGGGCUAUUAAAGCUCAUCAUGGAGGUGGUCCUGGGUUCAAUUCCCAGCUUGGCCC